GGCGGCGUGCUAUACAUGCAAGUCGAACGAACUCUGGUAUUGAUUGGUGCUUGCAUCAUGAUUUACAUUUGAGUGAGUGGCGAACUGGUGAGUAACACGUGGGAAACCUGCCCAGAAGCGGGGGAUAACACCUGGAAACAGAUGCUAAUACCGCAUAACAACUUGGACCGCAUGGUCCGAGUUUGAAAGAUGGCUUCGGCUAUCACUUUUGGAUGGUCCCGCGGCGUAUUAGCUAGAUGGUGGGGUAACGGCUCACCAUGGCAAUGAUACGUAGCCGACCUGAGAGGGUAAUCGGCCACAUUGGGACUGAGACACGGCCCAAACUCCUACGGGAGGCAGCAGUAGGGAAUCUUCCACAAUGGACGAAAGUCUGAUGGAGCAACGCCGCGUGAGUGAAGAAGGGUUUCGGCUCGUAAAACUCUGUUGUUAAAGAAGAACAUAUCUGAGAGUAACUGUUCAGGUAUUGACGGUAUUUAACCAGAAAGCCACGGCUAACUACGUGCCAGCAGCCGCGGUAAUACGUAGGUGGCAAGCGUUGUCCGGAUUUAUUGGGCGUAAAGCGAGCGCAGGCGGUUUUUUAAGUCUGAUGUGAAAGCCUUCGGCUCAACCGAAGAAGUGCAUCGGAAACUGGGAAACUUGAGUGCAGAAGAGGACAGUGGAACUCCAUGUGUAGCGGUGAAAUGCGUAGAUAUAUGGAAGAACACCAGUGGCGAAGGCGGCUGUCUGGUCUGUAACUGACGCUGAGGCUCGAAAGUAUGGGUAGCAAACAGGAUUAGAUACCCUGGUAGUCCAUACCGUAAACGAUGAAUGCUAAGUGUUGGAGGGUUUCCGCCCUUCAGUGCUGCAGCUAACGCAUUAAGCAUUCCGCCUGGGGAGUACGGCCGCAAGGCUGAAACUCAAAGGAAUUGACGGGGGCCCGCACAAGCGGUGGAGCAUGUGGUUUAAUUCGAAGCUACGCGAAGAACCUUACCAGGUCUUGACAUACUAUGCAAAUCUAAGAGAUUAGACGUUCCCUUCGGGGACAUGGAUACAGGUGGUGCAUGGUUGUCGUCAGCUCGUGUCGUGAGAUGUUGGGUUAAGUCCCGCAACGAGCGCAACCCUUAUUAUCAGUUGCCAGCAUUAAGUUGGGCACUCUGGUGAGACUGCCGGUGACAAACCGGAGGAAGGUGGGGAUGACGUCAAAUCAUCAUGCCCCUUAUGACCUGGGCUACACACGUGCUACAAUGGAUGGUACAACGAGUUGCGAACUCGCGAGAGUAAGCUAAUCUCUUAAAGCCAUUCUCAGUUCGGAUUGUAGGCUGCAACUCGCCUACAUGAAGUCGGAAUCGCUAGUAAUCGCGGAUCAGCAUGCCGCGGUGAAUACGUUCCCGGGCCUUGUACACACCGCCCGUCACACCAUGAGAGUUUGUAACACCCAAAGUCGGUGGGGUAACCUUUUAGGAACCAGCCGCCUAAGGUGGGACAGAUGAUUA
This 1472-nucleotide ribosomal RNA is filed under the name Lactiplantibacillus plantarum. RNAcentral describes it as "bacterial SSU rRNA". It matches the Rfam family "Bacterial small subunit ribosomal RNA". Lineage: Bacteria; Bacillati; Bacillota; Bacilli; Lactobacillales; Lactobacillaceae. The record is from RNAcentral.